CCCCUGGUGGUCCGACCUGUAAACACACAAGUUCCCUGACUGAGCGUUUCCCAGUGUGAUUUUCCCCGACUCCUGGAAACAAUGAGAGAGAAAUACUUUGGGAGCUUCGAAGGUAUAAAUAACGCAGCCUUGAUGCCUCUGAGCCUUCUGGAAUUGGUCUGCCCCAUGUGGAUCAAUGGCUGUCUGUUUUCUACUCCAGCCUCUCUGCUUGGAAUCCUAUGUCUUCACCCCACAGCUUCUCAGACCCUGUCCUUCCUCCCUGGCAGCCAACAGCAAGAGGCUUCGAGAAUGUGA
RNAcentral lists this long non-coding RNA (294 nucleotides) under Mus spicilegus (steppe mouse). RNAcentral describes it as "lncRNA (ENSMSIG00000016336.1)". Lineage: Eukaryota; Metazoa; Chordata; Mammalia; Rodentia; Muridae. The record is from RNAcentral.